GAAAAAUGUUUGGAUUAAACGAACAUUUCCGAAGAUCGAUCGACAGAGCACUACAAUACUGCGCUUAGUGAAUUAGUGUGUGGAGAUUUGCUCCUGUAGCCUGUUGCAAAGACUGUAUUCAUGGACAAAGAUAUUGUCUAAAUUCUAAGCAAAAAAUAUAGCCAAUGAAGCAUAUGAAAAAAUCUGGUGUUGAGUUUGAUGUUCAGUUGUGUCAUUUGUACGAGUCCAUAGCCAGCAUUUCUGACUUAUGAAGUGGACAGGUGCCAGAAGAUUGGAAGUUGGUUAAUGUUACUACCCUUUUCAAUGGAGGUGAUAAAAACUGUUCAAGUAAUUAUAGGCCUAUUAGUCUUGCAUCAAUGGUGUGAGAGUUCGCUUGGCUCAUUGGAUAGAAAAUUGUCUGGUUGGAAGAAAGCAGAGAAUUGUUAUAAAUGGAACUGAUUCUAAUUGGAUUAAUGUUGCAAGUGGAGUACCUCAGGCUCAGUGUUUUGACCUUCGCAAGUACUUUGUACCAACUAGAGCAGUAAACCUUGUGUCAACAAAGCAAUACAUCACAGUGGGAGCUGACUUUGGCACUGUAACAUAAACAGCACAUCAUGAAACAUACAAGACAAUGGAUAAGAAGAAUAUAUUUGCUACCUCAGUGAAAUAUAACAGAGUAAACAAGAACAUGAGGAGAAGGAUGUCUGCAGAUGUUCACAACUAUCACAAAAUUUGGGAUGUUUAUUUACUUAACUUUUCUUGUUGAAUUAGAAUUUCAAUUUGAGAAAAGACACAUUUUACACCAACUAAGCUGCAUUUGUGAUUUAAGAUAAUCUUGCCUUAAGAUUGUCUAACUGAAUACCUGACCAGGGGAGAGAUUGUCAAUGAAUACACAGUAGAACUACAAAACAUAGUGCAGAAGGUGGAUGUACUGCAGAAAUAGUACAAUUGCAGAAGAUGGCUAGCAGUAUUUCUAGCAAGUGAUACAGUUUUGUUAAAAUAUCAUCCUGUAUCAGUUGCUGUAAACAAGUUUUAAGCUAAAUCUUCACCUUCUAAGUGGAACUUUAUGAAAUUGUGAGAUGUAGAACAUCAUUAAUUUAUGAACUUAAAGAUCUUAGAAGUGAUGUUAUACAGAGUAAAUAUCAUGUAUCAAAUUAAAAAAUUUAUACAUUUGUUCAUGAACCAGCAUGUUAUCGUCUGAGCUGAUGGGAAACUCUGGAUACUACAACAGUUGCUGCUGAUACUCAGCCAAAUGUGAGUUAAAGAGUGCUGUAACAAAAUCAUCACAUUGAUUAAAGAUGUCUUACAGGACUCUCUAUUUUCAAGGAGAAAAGUGUGCAAUGUACCUGCCCCCUAGUGCGGACCUACAAUGCUAAAAACUGGGUUUCGAUACUUGUGGUGGGCAGAGCACAGAUAGCUUAUUGUGUAUCUUUGUGCUUAAUUACAAACAACAAUAACAGCAAUGUACCUUUUGCUUCAAUAUUAUUCUGCUACACUGAAUCAGAGCCAAAAAUUUCAUUAUAAUGAUGGUAAAAGAAAAAUAUGUAACUGACUUCUGCUAUUGUUCUGGUAAGCUGAACAGCCAGAACUUUGGGUACAUAUAACCUGAUUAUUGCAAAGUUAUCAUGAUAUAAUACCAUAUAGUGUACUCAGUGUUGUUUUGGAUGAAAAGGUAUACUUUAUGUGAAAGUUGAGAUGUAUGUACAAAGUAAUUAAAUUUAUCACUUCUUCAGAUGGAAUGGGAGGUGUAUUCCUUCAUUUUUUAAAUUAUUUAAUUAUUAUUAUAUUUUUAUUCUAUAUAACUUUUCCUCUGUUGUUUAGUUGACCUGUUUCUUGUGAUUGUUUAUGUAUUAUGCCAGUUCAAAUCCUGUUAGAAUUAAUUGUAAAAUUAUUCUUAUAGUGAGACAGUUGCAUUGAAGGCUUUGUUAUGAUAAUUAUGGUCAUAUUUUAAUCAGUCUUUUACUCUUUGUAAAUGGAUAAGUCAAUCAGAUAUUUGUCAGUAGCCAAUAAUCAUCCCACUCUUAACUAUAAUCUCAUCAUCUGGUAGAAAAUAAAAGAAAACUGAAAACUACUACUUAGAUACUCGAGAAUAUGGAGUUUUAGAUUGAAUAUUACUUGAAACUUGGUUAUAAUUUAGAAGUGUUGUGUUUUACAAAUUCUUAUUAAUCAGAGUGUGAAAGUGUUGUAUGAUUAAAUAGGUUUUGUGAUAAUUAACAAAGUUAGGUUUUUCUUUCUAGUACUUUUUCCUAACUUCUUGUAUCAGUGUUGAGUUAGAAAUUUGAAGUUCAGUUGUGUUGUUUAUAAAGGUCUGAGUUCACCAUUUUUGACUCAUGAAUACAUUCCGUUUAAUUUGUGGAAGUCAUAAAAUACCUUAUUUGUUUUUU
This 2363-nucleotide long non-coding RNA is filed under the name Limulus polyphemus (Atlantic horseshoe crab). RNAcentral describes it as "uncharacterized LOC106460076, transcript variant X6". Lineage: Eukaryota; Metazoa; Arthropoda; Merostomata; Xiphosura; Limulidae. The record is from RNAcentral.